This 10043-nucleotide long non-coding RNA is filed under the name Capsella rubella. RNAcentral's name for it is "long non-coding RNA (CRUB_LNC001783)". Lineage: Eukaryota; Viridiplantae; Streptophyta; Magnoliopsida; Brassicales; Brassicaceae. The record is from RNAcentral.
CUUCAUCCUCCCUUCUCUACAUAACCCGUUAAUAACGACAUUGUAAGAAAUCAAAUUCGGCUCUAAACCCUUCAACGCCAUUGAUCUCAAAAGCUCAAACCCAUCAUCAAUCUUACGCAACUUACAAUACCCAUCAAUCAAAGUGUUGUAAGUAACAACAUUAGGUAAAUAACCUUUCUUCUCCAUUCGAUCGAAAAACCGCAGAGCAGCAUCUAAAUUCCCAGCAAAGCAAAACCCUCUAAUCAAGAUAUUGUAAGUAAACACAUUAGGAGAGACUUGGCUAUCCAACAUUUCCUUGAACACAUCCUCAGCAAAGCUAAUGUUUCUCUUAGAUCUAAUCGUAGCAUCUAACACCGCAUUGUAAGACAAAACUCCAGGCAUAAAGCCAUGAGCUUGAGCAAGACGAACAAUACUCAGAGCCUUAUCAAUCAAACUCAAACGAGAGUAAGACUUCACUACCAAAUCGAAAACAGAGGAAGUCGAAUUGCACAAAUCGUAAGACUCCUUUAGCGAUCUGAAGACGAGGGAAGCAUCUUCGUCGUCUAGGGUCUUGGCCGCGACAUCUUCCGCGAGGGUUUGAGCUGUUUUGUAAAGUUUGAAUUUGGUGAGGAUGUGGAGAGUGAUGCAUUUGCAACGGAGAGUGAAGAAUCGAUGUGGGUUUGCCCAAUUUAGGAACUUUAGGACUAAUUCUUGAUCGUUCUGAGAUUUGAGGAGAAGAUUCGAAGCUGCUUCUGGCGUGAAAUUUGCAGAGAGGUGAUGAAGCUGGUAAGGAUGACGUCUGAGAAAGGUUACAGCUUUAUCGGCAAGAAGUGAAUCUGAAGAAGAAGCGAAGCUAGAGAACGAUCGUCGAAUUAGGGUUUUAGAGAGAAACAUUGACGGAUUUGAAUUUAGGGGGUUUAGCCUUUUCGGAGGAGAAAAGCUCGCUCGAAGAAGACGAUGCACAAUUGAUCGCAGCCAUCCAUUUGUGUUCUUAUAAGAUGUCAUCUCAGCCGUCCAUUGUGUUCUAUCAAGAUGUCAUCUCAGCCGUCAAUUUACUUCUGAUAAAGAUUUCAUCUCAGCCGUCAAUUGACUUCUUAUAAAGAUGUCAUCUCAGCCGUCAAUUGAGUUCUUAUAAAUAUGUCAUCUCAGCCGUCCAUUGAGUUCUUAUAAAUAUGUCAUCUCAGCCGUCCAUUAAGUUCUGGAAUCUUGUAAUUAUUUUAGCUUAUUACAUUUGUUUAAUACAAAUGAGGAUUAAAUUUUGAUAAUAAUAUUCUAUAUAAAAUAUAAUAAUUUUCUAAAAUAUGAAAAUAAAUUUUCUUAAAAUAUGAAAAUAAAUUUUUACAUUAAAUAGGAAUUCCUGUAUUUUAGAUAUACAAAUAGUCUAGAUAUAGAUAAAAAAAUCCAUUUACAAAUAGUCAAAUGCACCGGUCAUGAGCUAACAAAUUGUACAAUUGUCUUUUAGACAUAAAAACAAUUUCGAAUUAAGUGGGAUGACUGAAAUGGAAAUCAUAUUAAGAAAAAAAUAUCUUUUGUCAAAUUUUCCUUCCUAAACCUACCAAUUAAGGAAUUAGUCAAAAAAAUUGUAAAUUUAUCAUCAUCCAAAAUAUUAAAUAAAAACCAAAUAUGUGGUCAAAGUUAUCCAAGCAUUUGUUUCGUGGUUAUCUAAAAGUAAAAAUGUAAUAUUAUAUAUAACAGUAGUUUGUCAUCUACUAAUUCACAGUAUUAGCGACGCAACAUUUUUCUAGUUAUUCUAAGAGUUAAAUCAGGAUUCGAGCGUCGUUCCAAUGGCAUCUGCUUUGUCAUCUUUCAAAGUACACACCAACUCUUAUCUUUUUUGCUUACUCUUAUAACUAAGUAUGUAGUUCAAUCUUUGUCUUCACCAUCAAUCAUCAAUCUUUGUCUAACAAACAUCAAAAGAGUUCUUAAAACAUAUGUGUGUGUGUAUUAUUUUUUAAUUCUCUCUUCUUAGUUUUGGAGGAGACUCGUUUUAAAUAAGAUAUUCACUUGUAACGUUUAUUGCAGAGACCAGUUAAUGGGGUUGGAGCAAACAAUGCAUUAUCAUUGAGAGAGACGCAACAAGAGGAGAGAAAGAGUCCAUAUCUUGGUGGUAGAGGACACUGGACACAGUCACAAGAUCUCAAACUCAUAGAGCUCGUGGAGGCUUAUGGUCUUGACAAUUGGGAUCUCAUUGGAGAGAAGAUGCAAGCAAGAACAGGUAAGAGUUGCAGAUUUAGGUGGUUGAACCAGCUCGAUCCAACAAUUAACAAGGCACCUUUCACUGUGGAGGAAGAAAAGAUAAUGGUAUCAGCUCACAAUUUCUAUGGCAACAAAUGGUCGAAGAUUGCUAAACACCUUAAAGGAAGAACAGACAUUGAUGUGAAGAAUCAUUGGAACGUUCAUAUGAACAGAACCGCAUGGAGAAGCCAAACUAAAACUAAGAAAAGAUGUUUCACUGCCGCUCUCAAUCCAUAUGGCUACCAUGUUCCUGGUAUGUGUCUUCUUUAAACUAAACAAUCUCAUUUCAGAUCUCCAUUAGAUUUAGAACAGCACACAGUAAAAAGGGUUCAAUUCUUGAACUUUCUUGAUAUUGUGUGGUUUACAGGUAAUCCGAGUUAUGAAGGUAUCGGGAUCAAGAAGAACUGCAGCCGCAAUAUGCGAAAUGAGGAAACGACUAACCUCUAUGCUCAUCCUCGCAUGCCAGUGCAACUCUCAGGACAUCACCAUCACUUCCCUAUCUUUCCUGCAAGUGAUUCCUUGGCACUAUCCACACAGCUCUCCAUCUCCCAACCAUCAUCAUCACCAGAAGCAGCAGAUGUAAAGAUCAGAAAAACCCCGAAAUUUAUCGAUUUUCUCGGGGUAGGAGAUUCUUGAAGAAACGACUUAAGAACUUUGUAAUCAUGUAACCUUUAAUCCCUAUGAUGAGAAACGACUUAAGAACUUUGUAUUCAUGUAACAUAGCAAGGUUGCAAUUUAUACAAACAGAGAAAAGCAAGAGUUUGUAUUUCUGUUGUAAUUCUCACAUCCUAACAUUUGUUUCACUUUAAAUUUCCCAGCCUUACACAUACUAUGUAUUAGUGAAGUAUAAGUGAUAACACUAGGUGACAACCCAUGUCUCAACAUCUCUGCAUGCAUCACAAGAGCUUGAUGAAAGUUACCUUCUUUACAAUGACCUUUCUCAUUCAUCUCCGUAAGUACAAAACUUGUCUCCUUCAUCCUCCCUUCUCUACAUAACCCGUUAAUAACGACACUGUAAGAAAUCAAAUUCGGCUCUAAGCCCUUCAACAACAUUGAUCUCAAAAGCUCAAACCCAUCAUCAAUCUUACGCAACUUACAAUACCCACCAAUCAAAGUGUUGUAAGUAACAACAUUAGGUAAACAACCUUUCUUCUCCAUUCGAUCGAAAAACCGCAGAGCAGCAUCUAAAUUCCCAGCAAAGCAAAACCCUCUAAUCAAGAUAUUGUAAGUAAACACACUAGGAGAGACUUGGCUAUCCAACAUUUCCUUGAACACAUCCUCAGCAAAGCUAAUGUUUCUCUUAGAUCUAAUCGUAGCAUCAAAAACCGCAUUGUAAGACAAACUCCAGGCAUAAAUCCAUGAGCUUGAGCAAGACGAACAAUACUUAGAGCCUUAUCAAUCAAACUCAAACGAGAGUAAGACUUCACUACCAAAUCGAAAACAGAGGAAGUCGAAUUGCACAAAUCGUAAGUUUCCUUUAGCGAUCUGAAGACGAGGGAAGCAUCUUCGUCGUCUAGGGUCUUGGCCGCGACAUCUUCCGCGAGGGUUUGAGCUGUUUUGUAGAGUUUGAAUUUGGUGAGGAUGUGGAGAGUGAUGCAUUUGCAACGGAGAGUGAAGAAUCGAUAUGGGUUCGCCCAAUUUAGGAACUUUAGGACUAAUUCUUAAUCGUUCUGAGAUUUGAGGAGAAGACUCGAAGCUGCUUCUGGAGUGAAAUUUGCAGAGAGGUGAUGAAGCUGGUAAGGGUGACGUCUGAGAAAGUUUAAAGCUUUAUCGGCAAGAAGUGAAUCUGAAGAAGAAGCGAAGCUAGAGAACGAUCGUCGAAUUAGUGUUUUAGAGAGAAUCAUUGACGGAUUUGAAUUUAGGGGUUUAGCCUUUUAGGGAGGGGUUUAGGAGGAGAAAGGCUCGGAGAAGACGACGAACAAUUGAUAGCAGCCGUCCAUCGUGUUCUUACAAGAUCUCAUCUCAGCCGUCAAUUGAGUUGUUAUAAAGAUGUCAUCUCAGCCGUCCAUUGCGUUCUUAUCAAGAUGUCAUCGCAGCCGUCAAUUUAGUUGUUAUAAAGAUGUCAUCUCAGCCGUCAAUUGAGUUCUAGAAUCUUGUAAUUGUUUUAGUUUAUUACAUACAUUUGGUUAAUUCAAAUGAGGAUUAAUUUUGAGAAAAAAAUUCUUAUAAAAAUAUAAAUUUUAAAAUAUGAAAAAUAAAAUUCUACUUUUAAUAUGAAUUCCUAUGUUUUAGAUAUACAUAUAGUAUAUAUAUAUACUAGUUUACUACCCGUCCGAUGGACGGGUUAUCUUUAUUUAAAAUUAAAUUAAAAUUAAAAUUUAUUAUAACUUACAAGAAAAUAAUUUCCAAAUUUUUUUUGAAAAAAUAAGAGAAAUUAAUUUCAUUUGGAAAGAGAUUUUAUUUGGUUUGAAGUAUCAAACAAACGUAUAUAUAUAUAUCUCUCUCUAAAAAUUCGUUAUUAAACAUUAAUUAUAAAAAUCUAGUAAUGUCAAAUUGACAAUCACCAAAACAUUUGGGAGCUAUUCACCAUUAAUCAUAAUAUUGCUAAAAUAUUUAAAAAAAAUCUUAAUUUAGCAAUUAUCCUCUAAAACAUGAUUAUACCAUUUUGUAAAAAAAUUUAUUUCUUAACUUUCAAUUUUUUUAAAAAAUCAUUCUCAGACUAUGAAAAUUAAUUAAUUAUUAUUUAAUAUGAUGGUAAAGUUCUUUCACAUUAACAUCAAUCUAAAUAAUGAUGUUAAAUACAAAUAUAGUCAUUUGUAAAUAAAUUCAUAUAAACAACGCAAAUAAACAUAAAGAUUCUAAAAUAAAUUAUAGCAUCGUUGAGGAAAACAUUAAAAAAUCUUUCAAAUACGAAUUAUAAAAAACUACAUAUUUUCUUUAAAAAUAUUUUAAAAUUACUAUAUUACGAUUUAUAUUGAACUUUGUCAGCUUUAAUUUAAGAUAAAAAAUAUUAUUUUCGAAAAUCUUUUAUUCACCCUUAUGUUUUAGACAAUGAAAUUGCUCAAUGGCAUAAUACAUUUAUAAAUAAAUUAAAAACUAAACAAAUUUAACAUAUUAUAAAUAAAAAUCAUGAAUAAAAUUAUGUAUUUAGUUAAACUCAAAAUCUAAUUUAUUUGUAAACUGUAAAUCCUAAAUCUCCUUUAUGAACCCAAACUGAUAAAAACCUUGUUUAAUUGUAAAACCUAAAUCUCACUCCUCUUUAAUAAACUAAAACCGAUAAAUAAUCUCGUUUAAUUAUAAAAUUUAAACUAUAAUGCAGAUUUAUAAACUCAACAUAUAACCCUUAUAAUUGUAAAACCUAGAACUGGCAAAACCAAAAAUUAUGUUAAUAGUUGAAAGAGAAUUUUUGAGAAAUAUCACUUCUGGUGUACCCUUUUUUAAAAAUACACCAAUUUUCUAUCAUUUUUAAAAAAAUAUACCUUUUCAAAUCUGGAAAAUUGUAAACUUUUAUAUAGUUUAUAAGAUACAUCUAGAUUAUCAUUACUAUUGGGAGACUCAAUACAAAUAUUUAUAAAGUUUUAAAAAGGUUCUAAACGGCAUUUAUAAGACUUUUAUAAGGUUUUUAUAAGGUUUACAGAGUUUUUAUAUGUUUUUAAAAUAGUUUUUAAAAGGUUUUUAAAAGGUAUUUAUAUGGUAUUUAAAUUUACACACAUAGAAAGAUAAUUUGUGUCUAAAUAUAUAAGCUUACACAUUUUUUUUUAUAAAUAUCAAUUUUUUUACUUUUUAAUUAUCAAAAAUACCCUUUUUCCAUACCACUUUUUAAAAAUAUCCCUAUUCCAAACUUCAUAAAAAACCACUUUAAAUGUUGAAAUUUAUCCAAAUAUGUGUGUAAACUUAUAAAUAUACACACAAAUUACCUUUAUAUAUGUUUAUAUUUUUAUAUAUAUUUCAUAAAUAGCGUAAAAUAAAUUAUAAAUACCUUUUAAAAACCACUUAAAAACCUUAUAAAACUUGUAAAAACUAUUUAAAACCUUUUAAAACAGUAUAAAAUAUUUGUAUAAAAUUUCCAAAUAGUAGUUAUUAUAAAGAAGUACCUUAUAAACCAUAUAAUACUUUAGAAUUUUUCAUAUUUAAACAUGGAUAUUUUUGAAAAUGGAUAGAUAAAGGAGAUAUUUUUGAAAAGGGGUACACCAAAAGGGGUACACCAAAAGGGGUAUUUCUCAAAAAUUCUCUUUAAUUUUUUAUAAUUACUUUUUUUACUGUUGUUUAAAAAUUCUAUUUGUAUCUUAAUAUUAACAAAAUUAGAUAAAACAUGUUGCGACAUCUUAUGUUUUUGCUUGACACUUAUCAUGGUCACGUGAGUUAGUAAAUUUAAAAACUAAGUUUCGACAUAUAAUCUCGUUUAAUUGUUAAAAUUAAACCAUAAUUUUAAUUUAUAAAGAUAAACCAUAAUUCUUAUUUAUCAUUUAUAUACCCAAACCAACAAAUAACCUGAUUUAAUUGUAAAAUUAAAGUUUAAACCUUAAUCCUCUUCUGUAAACAAAAACCACCAUAUAUUCUUGUUAAUUAUAUAUUUUAAAUCCCUAUCUUAUUAAUAAACCAAAUUGACAUAACUGAAAUUAGAUUAUUUGUUUAAUUUUAUUAAUAAUUUUUAAUAUAUAAUUCUUUAUAAUAUUUAGUUUAUAUAUUUCAUUUUUCGAUAGGAUUAAUAAUAUUUCUAUUUUAUCCAAAUAUUAACUAAAUUAGUUACGACACGUGUCAACAUCUUAUCGUUUAUAAUUGACACGUGUCAUGAUCUUCUUUAUAAUAUUUAUUUUAUAUAUUUCAUUUUUCGAUAGGGUUAAUAAUAUUUCUAUUUUAUCCAAAUAUUAACUAAAUUAGUUACGACACGUGUCAACAUCUUAUCGUUUAUAAUUGACACGUGUCACGAUCUUGUUAAUGGCUGACUUUGAAAACCAAGGUUUAUAUAAUAAGAUAUAUUGUCAUAUAGUAUAUAUAUAUAUAUAUAUAUAUAUAUUUUGUCAUAUAGAUAAAUUUUUUUUUAUAAAUACACCAUAGUCAUGAGCUAUUAAAUUUUUCAAUUUUCUUUUAAGAAUUAAAAAAAUAAGAAUUAAUUGAGAUAACUCAAAUUGAAACCGUAUUUAGAAUGUAAUAAUUUUCAAAAACAUUUCCUACGUAAACCUACCAAUAAAAGAAUUAGUCAAAAUAUGUGAAUUUAUUAUCAUCCAAAAGUUAUUAUACACCAAAAAUGUAGUCAAAAGUAUCAAAGCAUUUGUUUUGUGGUUAUCUAAAAGUAAAAAUGCUAUAUUAUAUAUAUAGUAGUAGUAGUUCUUCAUCGACUAAUUCACAGUAUUGGUGAGCUCCAUUUUUCUAAUUAACUAAGAAUUAAACUGAGAUUCGAGUGUCAUUCCAAUGGAGUCUACUUUGUCAGCUUUCAAGGUACAAACAAAAAAUAUCUUUUUGGCUUACUCUAGUUCAAUCUUUGUCUUCACCAUCAACCAUCAAUCUUUGUCUUCACCAUCAAUCAUCAAUCUUUGUUUAACAAACAUCUUUUGAAUUGAUAUUAUAAACAAGUCAAAAGACUGAAACUGUUCUUAACAUAUGUGUGUGUGUAUUUUUUUUUCAAUUCUCUCUUAUUAGUUUUGGAGGAGACUCGUUUUAAAUAAGAUACACUUAUGAUGUUUAUUACAGAGACCAGUUAAUGGGGUUGGAGCAAACAAUGCAUUACCAUUGAGAGAGACACAACAAGAGGAGAGAAAGAGUCCAUAUCGUGGUAGUAAAGGACACUGGACACAGUCACAAGAUCUCAAACUCAUAGAGCUCGUGGAGGCUUACGGUCUUGAGAAUUGGGAUCUCAUUGCAGAGAAGAUGGAAGCAAGAACAGGUAAGAGUUGCAGAUUUAGGUGGUUUAACCAGCUCGAUCCAACGAUUGACAAGACACCUUUCACUGUGGAGGAAGAAAAAAUAAUGGUAUCAGCUCACAAUUUCUAUGGCAACAAAUGGUCGAAGAUUGCUAAACACCUAAAAGGAAGAACAGACAUUGAUGUGAAGAAUCAUUGGAACGCUCAUAUGAACAGAACCGCAUGGAGGCCAAAAACAAAACCUAACAGAAGAUUAUUCACUACCUCCCUGAAUCCAUAUGGCUACUCUGUUCCUGGUUUGUGUCUUCUUUAAACUAAAACAAUCUCAUAGAUUCCGUUUCAACUCUCUAAUAGAUUUAGAACACCAAACAGGACAAAAGGGUUCAAUUCUUGAGUUUUCUUGAUAUUGUGUGGUUUACAGGUAAUGUGAGUUAUGAAGGUAUCGGGAUCAAGAACUGUAGCAGUAAUAUGCGAAAUGAGGAAACGACUAACCUCUAUCCUCAUCCUCGCAUGCCAGUGCAACUCUCUGGUCAUCACCAUCACUUCCCUAUCUUCCCGGCAAGUGGUUCCUUGGCACUAUCCACAGAGCUCUCCAUCUCCCAACCAUCAUCAUCACCAGAAGCAGCAGAUGUAAUGAUCAGAAAAACCCCGGAAUUUAUCGAUUUUCUCGGGGUAGGAGAUUCUUGAAGAAUUUGUAUUCAUGUAACCUUUAAUCCCUAUGAUGAGAAACGACUUAAGAACUUUGUAUUCAUGUAACAUAACAAGGUUGCAUUUUUUACAAACAGAGAAAAGCAAGAGUUUGUAUUUCUGUUGUAAUUCUCACAUCCUAACCUUUGUUUCACUUUCAAUUUCCAGCCUUACACAUACUAUUUCCCAGCCUUUCGGUAUCCAGGUUCAUAUUCCCAGCCUUACUCAUACUAUGUAUUAGUGAAGUAUAAGUAAGUGAUAACACUAGGUGACAACCCAUGUCUCAACAUCUCUGCAUGCAUCACAAGAGCUUGAUGAAAGUUACCUUCUUUACAAUGACCUUUAAUAAGCGUAUUUCAAGUGACUUCAUCAAGCGAAUAUCCUUUCUCAUUCAUCUCCGUAAGUACAAAACUUGUCUCCUUCAUCCUCCCUUCUCUACAUAACCCGUUAAUAACGACAUUGUAAGAAAUCAAAUUCGGCUCUAAACGCCAUUGAUCUCAAAAGCUCAAACCCAUCAUCAAUCUUACGCAACUUACAAUACCCAUCAAUCAAAGUGUUGUAAGUAACAACAUUAGGUAAACAACCUCUCUUCUCUAUUCGAUCGAAAAACCGCAGAGCAGCAUCUAAAUUCCCAGCAAAGCAAAACCCUCUAAUCAAGAUAUUGUAAGUAAACACAUUAGGAGAGACUUGGCUAUCCAACAUUUCCUUGAACACAUCCUCAGCAAAGCUAAUGUUUCUCUUAGAUCAAAUCUUAGCAUCUAACACCGCAUUGUAAGACAAAACUCCAGGCAUAAAGCCAUGAGCUUGAGCAAGACGAACAAUACUCAGAGCCUUUUUAAUCAAACUCAAACGAGAGUAAGAUUGUACUACCAAAUCGAAAACAGAGGAAGUGGAAUUGCACAAAUCGUAAGACUCCUUUAGCGAUCUGAAGACGAGGGAAGCAUCUUCGUCGUCUAGGGUCUUGGCCGCGACAUCUUCCGUGAGGGAUUGAGCUGUUUUGUAGAGUUUGAAUUUGGUGAGGAUGUGGAGAAUGAUGCAUUUGCAACGGAGAGUGAUAAUCGAUGUGGUUUUGCCCAAUUUAGGAACUUUAGAACCAAUUCUUGAUCGUUCUGAGAUUUGAAGAGAAGAUUCGAAGCUGUUUCUGCAGUGAAAUUUGCAGAGGUGAGGGUGAUGUCUGAGAAAGGUUAAAGCUUUAUCGCCAAGAAGUGAAUCUGAAGAAGAAGCGAAGGGUGAUGUCUGAGAACGAUCGUCCGAUUACGGUUUUAGAGAGAAACAUUGACGGAUUUGAAUUUAGGGGUUUAGCCUUUUAGGGAGGGGUUUAGGAGGAGAAAGGCUCGAAGA